GUCGUGAGAUGUUGGGUUAAGUCCCGCAACGAGCGCAACCCUUGUCCUAUGUUGCCAGCGGGUAAUGCCGGGGACUCGUAGGAGACUGCCGGGGUCAACUCGGAGGAAGGUGGGGACGACGUCAAGUCAUCAUGCCCCUUACGUCCAGGGCUGCACACAUGCUACAAUGGCUGGUACAGAGGGCUGCUAUCCCGCGAGGGUGAGCGAAUCCCAAAAAGCCAGUCUCAGUUCGGAUUGGAGUCUGCAACUCGACUCCAUGAAGUCGGAGUCGCUAGUAAUCCCGGAUCAGCAACGCCGGGGUGAAUACGUUCCCGGGCCUUGUACACACCGCCCGUCAAACCACGAAAGUCGGCAACACCCGAAGCCGGUCACCCAACCACUUUGUGGAGGGAGCCGUCGAAGGUGGGGUUGGUGAUUGGGGUUAAGUCGUAACAAGGUAGCCGUACCGGAAGGUGCGGCUGGAUCACCUCCUUUCUAAGGAGUCACGGUCGAUUCUUGAUCGCGCAAGCGAUGAAGUAAUCGAGCACUCCCAGUCGAUCAUUGACUACUCGUUCUAUUGCGCAACCUGCGACGGUUGACUCCAACAAGACAUUUGUCGGAGUCCCCUCAACGGCUCUGUGCAAGACCGACGGACUGUUCCUAUUCCGCUUUCAGGGAGCGGCGCGGUGCUAUUUGCGCGCCCCUUGAGAACUCCAUAGCGAGCACGAGCAUCUAUAAAUCUCCAAGCUACAAAGAGCCAACGGCGGAUGCCUUGGCGCCUGAAGCCGAUGAAGGACGUGGGAGGCUGCGAAAAGCCACGGGGAGCUGCCUACCAAGCUUCGAUCCGUGGACGU
This 833-nucleotide small RNA is filed under the name uncultured Actinomycetes bacterium. RNAcentral's name for it is "bacterial SSU rRNA". The stretch from base 1 to 474 matches the Rfam family "Bacterial small subunit ribosomal RNA", at positions 1064 to 1533 of the family's 1533-position model. Lineage: Bacteria; Bacillati; Actinomycetota; Actinomycetes. The record is from RNAcentral.